ACAGUGGAUACACAGCUUUACAUAUGGCUGCUUGCUUUGGAUAUCUACAGACCACAAGAUGUCUGGUAGAACAAGGAGGUGCCAGUCCCUUGAUUAAAUCACAUGAGGGUCAGACUCCAUACGACUUAGCAGCAGAAAGAAUGAGAGGACAGUAUAAAGAAGUGAUGGAAUACUUACAGACUGUCAUGUCAGAGAAAUCUUCAGGUGUGACUGCUGGACAAGGGAGAGAAGGUAAU
Long non-coding RNA from Mytilus trossulus (common blue mussel), 236 nucleotides. RefSeq lists it as uncharacterized. The record is from RefSeq and is a predicted model, not a curated record. The transcript is spliced from 3 exons. NCBI's taxonomy places the organism in Eukaryota, Metazoa, Mollusca, Bivalvia, Mytilida, Mytilidae.